UAAAAACCAAACAGUAGAAGAAGAAGAAGAAGAACUUUCGGUUUGUUUGUGUCGUAUCAAGAAAAAAAUCUGCGGGUUUGUAAACCCAGCAGCUGGCCUCCAGUCAGUCUGUGACCUUUGCAGAAGAGUGACAUCAUGGGGGCCUCACCAUCCACUCAGUCUGAGCCACACAGCAACGUCGCUGAACUCUUCGUCUCAUCUUUGAGGUUGCUCGCAGAGGAGCUGAGGAGACAAGAGGAGAUGAAGAGACGUGAGGAGGAGAUGA
Long non-coding RNA from Chelmon rostratus (copperband butterflyfish), 265 nucleotides. RefSeq lists it as uncharacterized. The transcript is spliced from 4 exons. NCBI's taxonomy places the organism in Eukaryota, Metazoa, Chordata, Actinopteri, Chaetodontiformes, Chaetodontidae. The record is from RefSeq and is a predicted model, not a curated record.